Molecule: ribosomal RNA, 495 nt
Filed under: uncultured bacterium
Lineage: Bacteria
Description: partial 16S ribosomal RNA
Rfam family: Bacterial small subunit ribosomal RNA
Source: RNAcentral
GACGAACGCUGGCGGCGUGCCUAAUACAUGCAAGUAGAACGCUGAAGGAGGAGCUUGCUUCUCUGGAUGAGUUGCGAACGGGUGAGUAACGCGUAGGUAACCUGCCUGGUAGCGGGGGAUAACUAUUGGAAACGAUAGCUAAUACCGCAUAACAGUAGAUAUCGCAUGAUAUCUACUUGAAAGGUGCAAUUGCAUCACUACCAGAUGGACCUGCGUUGUAUUAGCUAGUUGGUGAGGUAACGGCUCACCAAGGCGACGAUACAUAGCCGACCUGAGAGGGUGAUCGGCCACACUGGGACUGAGACACGGCCCAGACUCCUACGGGAGGCAGCAGUAGGGAAUCUUCGGCAAUGGACGGAAGUCUGACCGAGCAACGCCGCGUGAGUGAAGAAGGUUGUCGGAUCGUAAAGCUCUGUUGUAAGAGAAGAACGAGUGUGAGAGUGGAAAAUUCACACUGUGACGGUAUCUUACCAGAAAGGGACGGCUAACUACGUG